Long non-coding RNA from Oncorhynchus tshawytscha (Chinook salmon), 2172 nucleotides. RefSeq lists it as uncharacterized. The record is from RefSeq and is a predicted model, not a curated record. Lineage: Eukaryota; Metazoa; Chordata; Actinopteri; Salmoniformes; Salmonidae. The transcript has 6 exons.
CUCAGGCUUUGGUUUGAAUUACAAAACUUUAUUAGCCAGUGCCAACAAAGCAGUGUUUCGGGUGACAUUGCCAACCACAAAUAAUGUGUUCUCCUUUGAGCUGUAAAACCCGGGAGGCAGCAGCAAACGGAGAGACCUACCCAGCCCGGGAAAAAAACAAACAAAGAGAGACCUUACUGGUGCUGUUUACACAUCUGUGUGGAGGACUAUCUGGGCUUGUGUGUUUUGACAUCGCGCUCAAAUGGCUGCACGGCUCCUGUCUCAGUGAAACGGAAGAUGUAGAGGAGCUGAAUGCUGGAGAGUGAUUGAAGGAGUGAAGCUGAGCCCUGGAUGGAGGGAUCUGCUGGAGGAAAGGAGAGAGAGAGGAUGCGGUCUCUUAAAGCCCCUGCCACCGGUGUCCUUGCCAGCCUCCAUCAAUCGCCCGGCGAUGGGCGGAACAGAGGAAGAGAGGGGCGAUAGAUGAAGUGAAAACUUUUCGAGUGUCGGCGGAACUGGGCCACAGCAUCCGAGCUGGGAGACCUGAGAGAAGAGAUGGGAGAGGGCGGCUCCGCUGACUGGAGGAGUACCAGCUGGUCUCAAACAGGUAGGGAGCCGUGCCAAGUCCCUGUGCCAGCGUCCGUCGUGCCCGCUGACGUUCGUCGUCUGUUGGCUUCCAUCAGGGCCUCUCUCUCUCUCUGAUCUGGAAUGAAGAUGAUUUGAUUAGACCUCUGGUAAAGGCUGGGCAGGCCCUAUACAAAGUCAUUAGGAUGGCCAGGAGUGGACUGGGGUGUUACGGGUGAGUAGUGGGUGACCGCAGCGGACUCACAUUUGCACUGGACUGUUAGUUGUAAUUCGGUUAAAAUGUUGUUGUGUGUCUGUGCAUGUGUGCGUAUGCACCUUUUCAACUUCCCUACUCUCAUCCCUCUGGUAAUUGAAUUGUGGUACAAUAAUGGAUCUAUGAUUUUAUUUUGUCUUAGGUCCAAAUGAGUUUUGGUGUGAACGUACACACACUGGCAGGUGUUUACACAUUACAGGGGCUCAAAGAAAAUCUCCCAAACUCUGUAGAUCACACCUGGCCUAUACACUGUAUGUAGUCUAUAUGCUAUGCAAAGAGGUAUGGAUACAAGUAUAGAAGGACCAAGUCUUUGUAUGGGAGACAAGGAUAUGCUAAUUGGGAAACUGAGAGGGACAGGUAGUAGCAGACAUAAGGGAGUGACAUGAAGGAGUGUGUCUCAGUUGGUAGAACAUGAUGCUUGCAACGCCAGGGUUGUGGGAACAGUAUGAAAAUGUAUGCAAUCACUACUGUAAGUCGCUCUGGAUAAUAGCAUCUGCUAAAUGACUCAGUUGUUAUUUAUUUUUUAUGUAAAAAAAUGAAAGGAAUGGGUAGGCCUUCUUUCUGGCUAGGAGACAAACUGAGAAAGCCCGGUACGCCUACUUGGAGACAAUGCAAGGAGGACAGCUACUGUAGCUGGCUAGGGACCACCUGAAAGAGACAGGUAGCUACUGUGGCUGGCUAGGGACCACCUGAAAGAGACAGGUAGCUACUGUAGCUGGCUAGGGACCACCUGAAAGAGACAGGUAGCUACUGUAGCUGGCUAGGGACCACCUGAAAGAGACAGGUAGCUUCUGUAGCUGGCUAGGGACCACCUGAAAGAGACAGGUAGCUUCUGUAGCAGGCUAGGGACCGCCUAAAAAAGACAGAUAGCUACUGUAGCUGGCUAGGGGACUGAGAGUUACAGUAAUGUAACUGAUGUUAUCCUGUUAAUCACGUCUGCCUGGCCAAACAGCCCUGCGGGUACAGACUAGUGUGUGUAUGGCCCAGCCUUGCCAAGCUGUUCCCACGACCCAGAGGUCAAAGGACAUGCUCAGAGUGGGCGCCAGGCAGAGACCAGCCAGAUAGACGACCUUGCCGUACAUACACACACACAGCCGGCCAAGGCUGGGCCUGCCAAGUCCAACAUGCCGAUGGCCAGACGGUGGGCAUGAAGAGGUCAGCCCUGGCAUGGUGGCCAAACGCUGUCCGAGGAGGGAAGGCUUGGCAGGACUGUGCCCAAACAUCCUCAGGCUGAGGUUAACUGGACUGAGGCAGAACAUAAGUGUGUGUGUGUGUGUGUGUGUGUGUGUGUGUGUGUGUGUGUGUGUGUGUGUGUGUGUGUGUGUGUGUGUGUGUGUGUGUGUGUGUGUGUGUGUGUG